GAACGGGUGAGUAACGUGGGCAAUCUGCCCUGCACUUCGGGACAACCCUGGAAACGGGUAAUACCGGAUACUACCGUCGGGCGGCUGUGGUGGAAAGUUCGGCGGUGCAGGAUGAGCCCGCGGCCUAUCAGCUUGUUGGUGGGGUGAUGGCCUACCAGGCGACGACGGGUAGCCGGCCUGAGAGGGCGACCGGCCACACUGGGACUGAGACACGGCCCAGACUCCUACGGGAGGCAGCAGUGGGGAAUAUUGCACAAUGGGCGGAAGCCUGAUGCAGCGACGCCGCGUGAGGGAUGACGGCCUUCGGGUUGUAAACCUCUUUCAGCAGGGAAGAAGGACGGUACCUGCAGAAGAAGCACCGGCU
This 364-nucleotide ribosomal RNA is filed under the name Streptomyces abyssalis. Its description in RNAcentral is "bacterial SSU rRNA". It matches the Rfam family "Bacterial small subunit ribosomal RNA", at positions 100 to 498 of the family's 1533-position model. The record is from RNAcentral. Lineage: Bacteria; Bacillati; Actinomycetota; Actinomycetes; Kitasatosporales; Streptomycetaceae.